ACACAUGCAGUCGAGCGGCAGCGGAAGUAGCUUGCUACUUUGCCGGCGAGCGGCGGACGGGUGAGUAAUGUCUGGGAAACUGCCUGAUGGAGGGGGAUAACUACUGGAAACGGUAGCUAAUACCGCAUAACGUCGCAAGACCAAAGAGGGGGACCUUCGGGCCUCUUGCCAUCAGAUGUGCCCAGAUGGGAUUAGCUAGUAGGUGGGGUAACGGCUCACCUAGGCGACGAUCCCUAGCUGGUCUGAGAGGAUGACCAGCCACACUGGAACUGAGACACGGUCCAGACUCCUACGGGAGGCAGCAGUGGGGAAUAUUGCACAAUGGGCGCAAGCCUGAUGCAGCCAUGCCGCGUGUAUGAAGAAGGCCUUCGGGUUGUAAAGUACUUUCAGCGGGGAGGAAGGCGAUAAGGUUAAUAACCUUGUCGAUUGACGUUACCCGCAGAAGAAGCACCGGCUAACUCCGUGCCAGCAGCCGCGGUAAUACGGAGGGUGCAAGCGUUAAUCGGAAUUACUGGGCGUAAAGCGCACGCAGGCGGUCUGUCAAGUCGGAUGUGAAAUCCCCGGGCUCAACCUGGGAACUGCAUUCGAAACUGGCAGGCUAGAGUCUUGUAGAGGGGGGUAGAAUUCCAGGUGUAGCGGUGAAAUGCGUAGAGAUCUGGAGG
This 662-nucleotide ribosomal RNA is filed under the name uncultured bacterium. RNAcentral's name for it is "bacterial SSU rRNA". It matches the Rfam family "Bacterial small subunit ribosomal RNA", at positions 51 to 704 of the family's 1533-position model. The record is from RNAcentral.